Molecule: long non-coding RNA, 950 nt
Filed under: Heterocephalus glaber (naked mole-rat)
Lineage: Eukaryota; Metazoa; Chordata; Mammalia; Rodentia; Bathyergidae
Description: lncRNA (ENSHGLG00100044705.1)
Source: RNAcentral
AUUAUGAAGAACUGGACUUUGACAUCUGAGUCUUGGAAUUCUGGGUAGAGCAAGGAGAGGAGCAGUGGCCUGGGUCUCUGUUUUCAAAACACUCGGACCUGUCUUUUUCUGAGUGGAAAAAUCAUGGGCCCGAAACCGAAAGCCCAACCUGCUCAGGGUGCUCCACCUGCCCCGGGUGCUCCACCUGCCCGGGGUGCUCCACCUGCCCGGGGUGCUCGGCCUGCCCGGGGUGCUCCGCCUGCCCGGGGUGCUCGGCCUGCCCCGGGUGCUCCGCCUGCCCGGGGUGCUCGGCCUGCCCCGGGUGCUCCGCCUGCCCGGGGUGCUCGGCCUGCCCCGGGUGCUCCGCCUGCCCGGGGUGCUCCACCUGACCCAGAUAGGAGUCCUAAACAGACGCCUGAAGAACUGGCCUUUUAUGCUCCGAAUUAUUUAUGUUUGACUCUCUUGGCUAUAGUUUUUUGCCCUCCCUUGGGACUCAUAAGUGUCUACUUCUGCUAUAAGACUUCAGUUGCCAACUGGAACAGCAACUGGGAAGAAGCUUAUACCAACUCAGGCCGAACUGGCUGUGUGGAUGUAUUCGCCAUACUCAUUGGUUUGGGCCUCCUUUACGGAUAUAUCCUAUUUUACUGAAGGCCAAGAACAGAGUGCCAGGGUUUUACAACCCAACAAACCCACCCACUAAGACACUGACCAGCCACCAUGCAAGAAACUCAACAGCUGAUUCAUCCCCUAGCCAAGAAACUUGCCACCAACCAAGGAACACAACAUCCAAGCAACCCAGCACCCUAGGAACAACUAGGCCCCUGCCUGUACCACAUCAGCUCACCUGGCCUCCAGAGGAAUCUUCAUUCACCUUGGGAUCCACACAUCAGCACCUGACAUCCUCUUAUUUCCUUAACACUGGGCUGCUCUCUCAGAAAAAAAAUUAAACCAAUAAAACUGAAAAGAAUGUU